RNAcentral lists this long non-coding RNA (308 nucleotides) under Malus domestica (apple). RNAcentral's name for it is "long non-coding RNA (MDOM_LNC011184)". Lineage: Eukaryota; Viridiplantae; Streptophyta; Magnoliopsida; Rosales; Rosaceae. The record is from RNAcentral.
CCUGUAUACUUUCCCAGAAAAUAACCUAAUAGUAAAUAAUUCCUCAUAUAUCUCAAAUCAUCAAUCUUUAUCAAUUCCAGAAAAUAUGCCAUGCCAUAAAUGUCAAUAACAGAUUAUGAAUGCAUCAAUAUAACAGGUGACAUAAUGAAUCAACCGGAGACCCUGCAGUUGAUCCUGUACGGUUAAUUCCAUAGCUCAAAAUUCAAACCAACCGGAGUCACCACGGUGACCUGUACUGCAUUACUCUGCACAUAAGUCGGAACUACCUGAAGUAGUCUGUACAACAAGAAUGGUGUAAUAAUACGCUC